CAAUCUCAUAGUUUAAUGUAAAAUAUAAAUUUUGGGGAUUUAAGAUCUUAGUUAUAUUAAGUAGGUUGA
This 69-nucleotide transfer RNA is filed under the name Ogmocotyle ailuri. RNAcentral's name for it is "tRNA-Pro". Lineage: Eukaryota; Metazoa; Platyhelminthes; Trematoda; Plagiorchiida; Notocotylidae. The record is from RNAcentral.